Molecule: long non-coding RNA, 688 nt
Organism: Manis javanica (Malayan pangolin)
Lineage: Eukaryota; Metazoa; Chordata; Mammalia; Pholidota; Manidae
Source: RefSeq, a predicted model, not a curated record
ACCAGACAGCCUGGUGGUCCUCAUCAUCGAGGAGCCCCCUGAGUUUGCAGAGCUGAUGGAGGACCACCCAGCUUGGCCCUGUCCCCGCAUGCCACCCUUGGACCCAGAGCCCUCCGUUGACCGUGGAGGUCCCCGAGGAAGCUGGGAGGGUGGCUCCACCCCUCGGCCCUCUCCCUCUGGAAGCUCCUCCCUCUGUGCAGUGUCUAUCAGGUGAGAGCCUCACCUCUGCCCCAGGAAACCCUGCGUCUGGAGCUUCCUCUUCAAAUGCCCCCACCUGCCCUGUCCAGCACACCUCCAAGGAGCAGGCUGGCCCUCUGCUCCCCCAGCCCCUCGGCACAAGGCUGUGCUAGAAAUCUGGAAGACUCUGGAGCUGUGCAGAAAGCAAGGGCCAACCUCAGCCUGGGUGCACGGGCCCGCUGCACCCGCCAGCCUGCUUGGCCCACGCAUGCUGACUAUGUCUGCUGAACUCCAGGGGGGAGGUCCUCAUCCGCUGGCCCCUCUGCAGGCUGCACCUCUGCCCUGGAGCCACAGCCACUGCCUCUCCCACCAGCUCAGGCCCAAGGAGGGCCUGGCACCAGACGGCUAGCUUGAGCCACAGCGCGGACCCCUUGUGACGACAGCCUCUCCCAGGACCAUACUCAGGACAGGGGCACAUGGGGACUGUCUGUACUUCACACUGAAUUUUCUG